Molecule: ribosomal RNA, 790 nt
Filed under: uncultured crenarchaeote
Lineage: Archaea; Thermoproteati; Thermoproteota
Description: bacterial SSU rRNA
Rfam family: Archaeal small subunit ribosomal RNA
Source: RNAcentral
ACGGCUCAGUAACACGUAGUCAACCUAACUGUGGACGUGGAUAACCUCGGGAAACUGAGAAUAAACCACGAUAGAUCAUAGUGCCUGGAAUGGCUUAUGGUCCAAACAGUUUACUGCCAUGGGAUGGGACUGCGGCCUAUCAGCUUGUUGGUGAGGUAAUGGCCCACCAAGGCGAUUACAGGUACGGGCUCUGAGAGGAGUAGCCCGGAGAUGGGUACUGAGACACGGACCCAGGCCCUAUGGGGCGCAGCAGGCGAGAAACCUUAGCAAUGUGCGAAAGCACGACUGGGUCAGUCCGAGUGAUUCCUGAUAAAGGAGUCUUUUGCCUGUCCUAAAAGCACAGGUGAAUAAGGGGUGGGCAAGUCUGGUGUCAGCCGCCGCGGUAAUACCAGCACCUCGAGUGGUCAGGACGUUUAUUGGGCCUAAAGCAUCCGUAGCCGGCUCUGCAAGUCUUCGGUUAAAUCCACCUGCUCAACAGAUGGGCCGCUGGAGAUACUACAGAGCUAGGGAGUGGGAGAGGCAGACGGUAUUCAGUGGGUAGGGGUAAAAUCCUCUGAUCCAUUGAGGACCACCAGUGGCGAAGGCGGUCUGCCAGAACACGUUCGACGGUGAGGGAUGAAAGCUGGGGGAGCAAACCGGAUUAGAUACCCGGGUAGUCCCAGCUGUAAACGAUGCAAACUCGGUGAUGCAUUGGCUUAUGGCCAAUGCAGUGCCGCAGGGAAGCCGUUAAGUUUGCCGCCUGGGAAGUACGGACCCAAGUCUGAAACUUAAGGAAUUGGCGGGGGAGCAC